AACGAACGCUGGCGGCAGGCCUAAUACAUGCAAGUCGAACGCACCGCAAGGUGAGUGGCAGACGGGUGAGUAACGCGUGGGAACCUUCCUAGUAGUACGGAAUAACUUCGGGAAACCAAAGCUAAUACCGUAUACGCCCUUCGGGGGAAAGAUUUAUCGCUAUUAGAUGGGCCCGCGUAGGAUUAGCUAGUUGGUGAGGUAAUGGCUCACCAAGGCUACGAUCCUUAGCUGGUCUGAGAGGAUGAUCAGCCACACUGGGACUGAUACACGGCCCAGACUCCUACGGGAGGCAGCAGUAGGGAAUAUUGGACAAUGGGCGAAAGCCUGAUCCAGCCAUGCCGCGUGAGUGAAGAAGGCCUUAGAGUUGUAAAGCUCUUUUGGCGGGGAAGAUAAUGACGGUACCCGCAGAAUAAGCCCCGGCUAACUUCGUGCCAGCCGCCGCUGUAA
This 447-nucleotide ribosomal RNA is filed under the name uncultured bacterium. Its description in RNAcentral is "partial 16S ribosomal RNA". It matches the Rfam family "Bacterial small subunit ribosomal RNA", at positions 29 to 523 of the family's 1533-position model. The record is from RNAcentral.